CCGUAGCUCAGUUGGUAGAGCAGCUGAUUCGUAAUCAGCAGGUCGCAGGUUCAAAUCCCGUCGGU
RNAcentral lists this transfer RNA (65 nucleotides) under Filifactor alocis. It matches the Rfam family "tRNA", at positions 5 to 66 of the family's 71-position model. Rfam says of the family: Transfer RNA (tRNA) molecules are approximately 80 nucleotides in length. Their secondary structure includes four short double-helical elements and three loops (D, anti-codon, and T loops). The record is from RNAcentral. Lineage: Bacteria; Bacillati; Bacillota; Clostridia; Peptostreptococcales; Filifactoraceae.